This 348-nucleotide unclassified non-coding RNA is filed under the name soil metagenome. RNAcentral describes it as "partial contains 5.8S ribosomal RNA, internal transcribed spacer 2, and large subunit ribosomal RNA". The stretch from base 2 to 120 matches the Rfam family "5.8S ribosomal RNA", at positions 36 to 154 of the family's 154-position model. The record is from RNAcentral.
UAUGAAGAACGUAGCGAAAUGCGAUAAGUAAUGUGAAUUGCAGAAUUCAGUGAAUCAUCGAAUCUUUGAACGCACAUUGCGCCCGCCAGUAUUCUGGCGGGCAUGCCUGUCCGAGCGUCAUUUCAACCCUCGAACCCCUCCGGGGGGUCGGCGUUGGGGAUCGGCACUUACCUGCCGGCCCCGAAAUACAGUGGCGGUCUCGCCGCAGCCUCUCCUGCGCAGUAGUUUGCACACUCGCACCGGGAGCGCGGCGCGUCCACGGCCGUAAAACAACCCAAACUUCUGAAAUGUUGACCUCGGAUCAGGUAGGAAUACCCGCUGAACUUAAGCAUAUCAAUAAGCGGAGGA